CUUUCCUUCGGGACAGAGGAGACAGGUGGUGCAUGGUUGUCGUCAGCUCGUGUCGUGAGAUGUUGGGUUAAGUCCCGCAACGAGCGCAACCCUUAUGCUUAGUUGCCAGCAGGUCAAGCUGGGCACUCUAAGCAGACUGCCGGUGACAAACCGGAGGAAGGUGGGGAUGACGUCAAAUCAUCAUGCCCCUUAUGACCUGGGCUACACACGUACUACAAUGGCCGGUACAACGGGAAGCGAAG
Molecule: ribosomal RNA, 242 nt
Filed under: Paenibacillus polymyxa
Lineage: Bacteria; Bacillati; Bacillota; Bacilli; Caryophanales; Paenibacillaceae
Description: partial 16S ribosomal RNA
Rfam family: Bacterial small subunit ribosomal RNA
Source: RNAcentral